Molecule: ribosomal RNA, 270 nt
Filed under: uncultured bacterium
Lineage: Bacteria
Description: partial 16S ribosomal RNA
Rfam family: Bacterial small subunit ribosomal RNA
Source: RNAcentral
CCGGCGACCGGCGCACGGGUGAGUAACACGUAUGAAACCUGCCCGUAGCAGGGGGAUAAGCGGAAGAAAUUCCGUCUAAUACCGCGUAACAACCCGAGGAGGCAUCUCCUCGGGUUUAAAGGAAGCGAUUCCGGCUACGGAUGGUCAUGCGUCGCAUUAGCUAGUUGGCGGGGUAACGGCCCACCAAGGCGACGAUGCGUAGGGGUUCUGAGAGGAAGGUCCCCCACACUGGUACUGAGACACGGACCAGACUCCUACGGAAGGCAGCAG